This 1729-nucleotide long non-coding RNA is filed under the name Homo sapiens (human). RNAcentral describes it as "HSALNT0356649". The record is from RNAcentral. Lineage: Eukaryota; Metazoa; Chordata; Mammalia; Primates; Hominidae.
UCUCCCGGAGGCGCAUGAUGUCCUCGGCCAGGUUGUCGCGCUCCACCUCGACGCGGGCUUUGUCGUUGGUUAGCUGGUCCACCUGCCGGCGCAGCUCCCGCAUCUCCUCCUCGUAGAGGUCCCCCAGGCGCGACUUGCCUUGGCCCUUGAGCUGCUCGAGCUCGGCCAGCAGGAUCUUAUUCUGCUGCUCCAGGAAGCGCACCUUGUCGAUGUAGUUGGCGAAGCGGUCAUUCAGCUCCUGCAGCUCCACCUUCUCGUUGGUGCGGGUGUUCUUGAACUCGGUGUUGAUGGCGUCGGCCAGCGAGAAGUCCACCGAGUCCUGCAGGAGCCGCACCCCGGGCACGCUGCUCCGCAGGCGCACGGCAGAGGAGCGCGUGGCAUACACGCCGCCCGGGGACGAGGCGUAGAGGCUGCGGCUGGUGCGGGUGGACGUAGUCACGUAGCUCCGGCUGGAGCUCGGCCGGCUCGCGGUGCCCGGGCCGCCGAACAUCCUGCGACAGCAAAGCUCCCUUUGGAUGACAUAGAUUUAUUACUUAGUAGUAUAUUAUGUAUUGGCUGUCCCACAUUUUGAAAUUUAAUGGACUCGUGGUGAUCAGAAUAAAAGAAGCCUUCGAUGUGAGGCCCAGGCAUUGAGUACCAUGUGUGCGAUUCACAAGCCUUGGCAUCUGAACAAUUUUUUGGAAGGAUCCAUCAGGACAACACGUCGGGGGUGUACUAGUGAAGUGAUUUUCCAAAUGUGCUACUCAGACCUGUAGCAUCAGCAUCACCGGAUAAUUUGUUAGAAAUUCCAACUGUUAGGCCCCACUUUAGACCAACUGAAUGUGAAACUCUGGGAGUACGUGGGGCCCAGCAAUUUGUGUUUUUACAAGACUUACCAGGUGAUUCUGAGAACCACUGUGCUAGUGAAUUGUUCCUGUCUGUGGCCACGUAGAAUAAGAAAACCAUAGGGUUGGAAAAUGGGGAAACUGGUGAGUGUUCGCUUAUGAGGAAAUGAAGAAUAGAUAGAAAAGAAUUAGUUAACUUUUGGAAUUCAAAAGAGAAGCAGUUUGUAAAAGCCAGGAAUUUGAUUUGAAGGACUAAUUGCUUGCAGAAUCUUUGCUUUCUCAGAGAGGGGCAAUCCAGAUCACUAGGUUACCGUGAAAUAUGUUGGUAUGGCUCUAAAAUUCUAGAAUAAUCUCUCUAGUGAGAAAAGGCAUACCUUUCCAUAUUAGGACAAAACUUCAAAUCAGGUUUGUAAAAUCCUAUAAGAUUAUUGUAUCCCAUUGCCAUGGCCAACUUGUUUGUCUCUGGAGAUCCCAGUUUCUACAUCUGAAAACCAUAUGCAUUCCUGCUCACCAGGAAUUAUCUCGCUGAAUGAAGCAAGAGAUUCAGGAUGUGUAAGAGAAUUUAUGAAGCAUUUGGAUUACCAAGAAAUGUGAAGUAUAAAGAUCAAGAAUGAUUAUUACAAACACUGAUGGUAAAGAGGUGUUUCGAAGUCGAUGCAAAAAAUGAGUUGCUUAUUUCAGUCUCUCUUUGAUAUAUCUGCCUUUUUAGUGCUGACUCUAUCAUGUAUUCACUAUUUGAUUUUCAGUGAAUCACAUUUUUUAAAGCUUUUAAUCUGUUUCCUCAAAAAAUAUAUUUUUUAAAAAUAUUUACUCAGGAUUGUUGUGAGAAUAAAAUUGAUUCGAUUGAUAUUUCAAAAAAGAAAUAUAUUUUUAAAAAAUAAAGCAAUACCAUUUUUGGAUAUGCU